RNAcentral lists this long non-coding RNA (1322 nucleotides) under Piliocolobus tephrosceles (Ugandan red Colobus). Its description in RNAcentral is "lncRNA (ENSPTEG00000002011.1)". Lineage: Eukaryota; Metazoa; Chordata; Mammalia; Primates; Cercopithecidae. The record is from RNAcentral.
UGCAAAGUUCUUAGCAUCUGGCACUGAACUGGCACUGAAUAAAUGAUCACUUUAAAAACUUCGCAUCAUUUGACAAAUUCUAAAGAAAUGGUACAGGACAGUGAAGCCUAAAAACACUGAGCAAAUGGCCAGAGUGAUUUUGGCUUAUAAGGAGUGUUCUAUAGAAAUGAGGCUUCUGCCUGUCCUGAAACACAGGCAGUUCUUGGCUGAAGACAGCAGUGCAGACUUGAGCUUGGAGUGGGUGGGAAGAAGUAAGGCUUCUAGAAAGUCAGUUCUCAAACACCAGUGAGCAAUACAAGUAGCCCUGGGGCCUCGUACACUUCCAGAUUUGGAUGAAAAUUGUUUAUAAAGCUUCACGAUACUCUUAUUCCAAUACAUUCUAAUAUUUUCUGUUGUAUUCUAUUUCAUUAGAAUAAGCAAAUAAGAGAUCAUUCCCCUCUAAACUGACUUAAUGAUGCAGUAGUGGUUAGUGGCCUGCACUUUGAAAAAUCCUGCUGUAAAACAAGGGUUCUUAACCUGGGUCCGUGGAUGGGCUUUGUGGGAGGGGAUGUGGGUGGCCCUAAAUCCCCUGAAUUUGGAUGCAUAGUUAUGUGUGCAUGUAUUUUUCUAGAGAGAGGGUCCCUAAAUUUCGUUUGGACCUCAAAGCACCCAUGACGUCCUCUGUGAGAGGGUAGUAAGAGAGCCAGAAAAGCAGCUUUGAGUGAUUGGGGAUUACUUUUAAUGCCACUUCAGAAAUGGAAAACUGCUGAAAAACCAGUCCCUGAAGAGGAGAAACCACAGGCAAAUGGAACAUUCCCCGCAAAAUGCCUCCUGCCCAGGGGACUCUUCUCCCGCUUGUGUGACAGCCAGCAGUUGGGACAGCCUACUUUUUCUUCUGCACCAAGUGGGGAUGGGUUCUCACCAGAAGAAGGCGCAUGUGUGAGGGAGUGGACUGUGUCCUGCCCAGAUGAAUGCGCUGGAACCAGAGCCCCAGCGCCUCAGGAUGGGACUGCAUUUAGAGACAGAGCCUUUAAGAGGGGAUUAAGGGAAAAUGAGUUCCUAUGGAUGGGUCCUGCUCCAACCUGACUGGUGUCUAUAAGAAGAGGAGAUUAGGACACAGGCAGAGACAGAGGGAACACCUCCUGAGAGCACGGGAAGAAGGCGGCCAUCCACAAGCCCAGGAGAGAGGCCCCCAAGAAGCCAAUCCUGCUGACCUCUUGAUCUUGGACUUCCAGCCUCCAGAACGGUGAGAAAAGAGAUGUGUGUUGUUUCAGCCACCCAGUCUGUGGUACCUGGUUAUGGCAGCCCCAGCAAACUAAUAAACUGUGUCUUUCAUGAACUCA